CUUUAGUUAAUAAAACGUUGUUAUAGUAUUUAGAGGACUUAUUUUACUAUAAUCCUGAGAGUAAUACUUUCCCUGCUCACAGUGCUGAAAAGGUUGGAUUAACAUUGUUUUUCCUCCAGAAAAAGAUGAAAUAAACAGUUAGUUAGUUUGCCUGAGACAAAGGCAGACUAAAGUACACAAGUCAGAAAAAGAGACUGGAAUGUUUCCUCCAACAGAGAAUAGUUUGUUUUCGUUAGGACUCACAUUUGAAGAUUUUGAUUUUGGAUUCCAGGGAGGGAAGAAUAUCGGAAAAGUGUCUUCUCAACUGGAGAACUUUCCAUAUAGUUUUCUUCAUGCUCAAGAUACAAGUACAUUGGACAGUCGUAAGAAAAAAAGGGAACAAUAUCUUAAGAACAAGAAAACUACUGUGCUACGAAACAAGAAGAAAUGCCCAAUCGUCUUGAUCAAGAGAAGGAAAAGGAUGAUACCUACUUGGAUUUUAUUAUAAAUUACAGAUAUUGUCAUGAAAUUGUUACACCCAAGUGAAAAGAUAUUUAUCCUCCCAGAAAAAUAGGGCUACUCUCUAAUUGUAAUAACUCGUUCUCUCUGUUAAAGGAAGUUGUUUGUUGUAAAAUAUAGUUUGUGUGUUACUAGUGCCAGAAAGUCUGAUUACCUUUCCUUAUCUGUUGUGCCACAUACUGCGAUUAGGCCAAAGCCUGUAUUAAGUUGUCCACUGGUCCCACAUAAUACAUAUUUUUAUUUUCUUGCUUUUUAUAUUAUAUUUAAUAUAUAUCAUUUUCAAUCAAACUGAAUUUUCUAAUUUUGAAUUUUCAACAAAAAAAUACUAAAAAUUAAAUAAUGGUAGGGGUUUUGUGAUUGAUUUUUUCACCACUCUUGACUAACUUAUUUUUUAUUAAAAAAAUUAUUGAAAGAAAUUG
This 917-nucleotide long non-coding RNA is filed under the name Androctonus crassicauda. The record is from RNAcentral. Lineage: Eukaryota; Metazoa; Arthropoda; Arachnida; Scorpiones; Buthidae.